This 463-nucleotide ribosomal RNA is filed under the name Palingenia longicauda. RNAcentral's name for it is "partial 16S ribosomal RNA". It matches the Rfam family "Bacterial large subunit ribosomal RNA", at positions 1928 to 2608 of the family's 2925-position model. Lineage: Eukaryota; Metazoa; Arthropoda; Insecta; Ephemeroptera; Palingeniidae. The record is from RNAcentral.
GGGCCGCAGUAUUUUGACUGUGCAAAGGUAGCAUAAUCAUUAGUCUUCUAAUUAAGGGCUAGAAUGAAUGGUUGGACGAGGUAUUAGCUGUCUCAUUUAAAUGGAUUUAAUUUAACUUCUCAGUGAAAAGGCUGAGAUUUGAUUGGAGGACGAGAAGACCCUAUAGAGCUUUAUGAGAGUAGGGUGAUUUAGCUUGGAGGAUAUAUGAUGUUACUUGAAUCUUAUUUUGUUGGGGCGACAGGAAAAUAACUAAACUUUUCUUUAAUUUUACAUUGAUGUAUGAGUAUGUGAUCCAUUACUAAUGAUUAUAAGAUUAAGUUACCUUAGGGAUAACAGCGUUAUUCUCUUAGAGAGUUCAAAUCGAUAAGAGAGUUUGCGACCUCGAUGUUGGACUAAGAAAAAUUCUGGGUGAAGAAGUUCAGAGUUUAGGUCUGUUCGACCUUUAGAUUCUUACAUGAUCUGA